GACGAACGCUGGCGGCGUGCCUAAUACAUGCAAGUCGAACGAGAGCGCCCGGUGCUUGCACUGGUCAAUCCAGUGGCGUACGGGUGAGUAACACGUGGGUCACCUGCCCAUCAGAGGGGGAUAACAUCCGGAAACGGAUGCUAAAACCGCAUAGGUCCUCGAACCGCAUGGUUUGAAGAGUAAAAGAGGCGCAUGUUUCUGCUCAUGGCUGGACCCGCGGUGAAUUAGCUAGUCGGUGAGGUAACGGCUCCCCAAGCCCGGAAUGCAUAGCCGACCUGUAGGGGUGAACGGCGACAUAGAGACUGAGACGCGGCCCUAAGGCUUACGGAAGGCAGAGGUAGGGAAGGUAGCGCAAAGGACGGAAGACUGACGGAGCAACGCAGCGUGAGUGAAGAAGAUAUUCGGAUCGUAAAACUCUGUUGUUGGAGAAGAACGAGUGCAGGAGUAACUGUUAGAGACGUGACGGUAACUAAACAGAAAGCCACGGCUAACUACGUG
Molecule: ribosomal RNA, 498 nt
Filed under: uncultured bacterium
Lineage: Bacteria
Description: partial 16S ribosomal RNA
Rfam family: Bacterial small subunit ribosomal RNA
Source: RNAcentral